This 351-nucleotide unclassified non-coding RNA is filed under the name soil metagenome. Its description in RNAcentral is "partial contains 5.8S ribosomal RNA, internal transcribed spacer 2, and large subunit ribosomal RNA". The stretch from base 1 to 120 matches the Rfam family "5.8S ribosomal RNA", at positions 35 to 154 of the family's 154-position model. The record is from RNAcentral.
GAUGAAGAACGCAGCGAAAUGCGAUAAGUAAUGCGAAUUGCAGAAUCCGUGAGUCAUCGAAUCUUUGAACGCACAUUGCGCCCCUUGGUUAUUCCGAAGGGCAUGCCUGUUCGAGCGUCAUUAUCACCCCUCAAGCCCUGGCUUGGUGUUGGACUUUAGUUAUAGCUUUGCCUAUCAACUGGUCUCAAAGAUAGUGACGGCGCCCCAGAGGGAACCGGGUACGAGGAGCUUUUUACUAAGCAUGUAUCUGGGACGACUCUGGGCGACGGUAUUGUUAUACUUUUUACCUAAGUGUUGACCUCGGAUCAGGUAGGAAUACCCGCUGAACUUAAGCAUAUCAUAAGCGGAGGA